CAAACAACGAUGAUCGGGAUAGUAAAGGUGCCAACAUCCGUAACAGAGAGCCAGGCGGUGGUGAAAGCUUGGACGGAGCUGCUCCUCGAAAAUCACCCAGGAGUUCAUACCUGAAAGCGUCCAGCAUGAUGUGAGUAGGUGAGCGUUACAUUCACGUUACGAAUGAAAUGAGUGGACAUGAAACAGCAGGGGCAACUUGCCAUAUCAUGUUUAUUAGGGUGGUACCACGGGAAGCUUUUCUCGUCCCUACG
Molecule: non-coding RNA, 251 nt
Filed under: Brevibacillus laterosporus
Lineage: Bacteria; Bacillati; Bacillota; Bacilli; Caryophanales; Paenibacillaceae
Description: T-box sequence
Rfam family: T-box leader
About the family: Uncharged tRNA acts as the effector for transcription antitermination of genes in the T-box leader family.
Source: RNAcentral